GACGUAGGGCGCGAGCGUUGUCCGGAUUUAUUGGGCGUAAAGAGCUCGUAGGCGGUUUGUCGCGUCGUUCGUGAAAACUCACAGCUUAACUGUGAGCUUGCGGUCGAUACGGGCAGGCUAGAGUUCGGUAGGGGAGACUGGAAUUCCUGGUGUAGCGGUGGAAUGCGCAGAUAUCAGGAGGAACACCGGUGGCGAAGGCGGGUCUCUGGGCAGUAACUGACGCUGAGGAGCGAAAGCGUGGGGAGCGAACAGG
RNAcentral lists this ribosomal RNA (253 nucleotides) under uncultured bacterium. RNAcentral's name for it is "partial 16S ribosomal RNA". It matches the Rfam family "Bacterial small subunit ribosomal RNA", at positions 524 to 776 of the family's 1533-position model. The record is from RNAcentral.